Molecule: ribosomal RNA, 283 nt
Filed under: uncultured bacterium
Lineage: Bacteria
Description: partial 16S ribosomal RNA
Rfam family: Bacterial small subunit ribosomal RNA
Source: RNAcentral
GACGAACGCUGGCGGCGUGCUUAACACAUGCAAGUCGAGCGGUAAGGCCCUUUCGGGGGUACACGAGCGGCGAACGGGUGAGUAACACGUGGGUGACCUGCCCUCAGCUCUGGGAUAAGCCUGGGAAACCGGGUCUAAUACCGGAUGUGACUCCAUGACGCAUGUUGUGGGGUGAAAGCCUUGUGCGGCUGAGGAUGGGCCCGCGGCCUAUCAGCUUGUUGGUGGGGUGAUGGCCUACCAAGGCGACGACGGGUAGCCGGCCUGAGAGGGCGACCGGCCACAC